GUGUCAGCCGCCGCGGUAAUACAGAGGGUGCAAGCGUUAAUCGGAGUUACUGGGCGUAAAGGGCACGUAGGCGGUUAUGUAAGUCAGUUGUGAAAUCCCCGGGCUUAACCUGGGAACUGCAAUUGAUACUGUGUGACUAGAGUCGAAGAGAGGGAAGCGGAAUUUCCGGUGUAGCGGUGAAAUGCGUAGAUAUCGGAAGGAACAUCUGUGGCGAAGGCGGCUUCCUGGCUUCAGACUGACGCUGAGGUGCGAAAGCGUGGGUAGCGAACAGGAUUAGAUACCCUGGUAGUCCACGCUGUAAACGAUGAGUACUAGCUGUUGGAAGGCUAAGACCUUUCAGUAGCGGAGCAAACGCAUUAAGUACUCCGCCUGGGGAAUACGGCCGCAAGGCUAAA
RNAcentral lists this ribosomal RNA (395 nucleotides) under uncultured bacterium. Its description in RNAcentral is "bacterial SSU rRNA". It matches the Rfam family "Bacterial small subunit ribosomal RNA", at positions 505 to 898 of the family's 1533-position model. The record is from RNAcentral.